AUGUGGCCAGUCCACACAGGCUGCUCCGUCCUGUGUGUUUGUUCUCCUUGGCAUUCCCUUGUCUGGUGGACACUUCAUUCUUUUGUAAGUUUUUCCUCUGAGGUUCUCUGUCAUUGGAUUAGUAAACACUUGAUUAACUCCGAGCCAAAAAUAAACAGAAGCAAGAACGUAAAUGAUGCUGCAGAUGAAACCAGGCCUGGUGGUCUCAGAGGGCCAUGGAGCCAGCGCAGUGAUGGCCUGAGGGGCUCAGCUUGCACUCUAGCUGGAGAAUACAGCAUUUCCACGGAUGCCUUGCACAGUCCUCGGGAAAUAUCAGCCUCCAUAGGUGCCUUCAACAAAAACCUGUUCCCUUCACCUGGGAAUUCGUAAGCACAGGGGGCUCCACAUGGUGAAUAAAGGCAGCAGCGUUAGCAUCCAGAUCCCGGCACGGCUGCAGACCGCACGGCGGGACACGGUGUGUGCUUUGAUUUAGAACCUUUACAUGGAGAGCACCCCCCACUCGUUAGAAGAGACACAGACAGAAAUAAAGGUUUUAUGUGUUCUCACUGUUCCUCACCCGCCUAUGAGUGAGAACAUGCGGUGUUUGAUUUUCUGUUCUUGUGUCAGUUUGCUAAGAAUGAUGGUCUCCAGAUUCAUCCAUGUCCCUACAAACGACACAAACUCAUCGUUUUUGAUGGCUGCAUAAUAUUCCAUGGUGUGUAUGUGCCACAUUUUCCCUGUCCAGUCUAUCACCGAUGGGCAUUUGUGUUGGUUCCAGGUCUUUGCUAUUGUAAACAGUGCUGCAGUGAACAUUCAUGUGCACGUGUCCUUAUAGUAGAACGAUUUAUAGUCCUUUGGAUAUAUACCCAGUAAUAGGAUUUCUGAGUCAAAUGUAAUUUCUAUUUCUAGGUCCUUGAGGAAUUGCCACACUGUCUUCCACAAUGAUUGAACUAAUUUACACUCCCAUCAGCAGUGUAAAAGUGCUAUUUCUCCACAUCCUUUCCAGCAUCUGUUGUCUCCAGAUUUUUUAAUGAUCAACAUUCUAACUGGCGUGAGAUGGUAUCUCAAUGUGGUUUUGAUUUGCAUUUCUCUAAUGACCAUGGACACAGGGAGGGGAGCAUCACACACUGGGGUCUGUUGGGGGAAAUAGGGGAGGGACAGCAGGGGGUGGGGAGUUGGGGAGAGAGAGCAUGGGGAGAAAUGCUGGGUAUCGGUGAAGGGGAGGAAGACAGCAAAUCACACUGCCACGUGUGUACCUAUGCCACAAUCUUUCAUGUUCUUCACAUGUACCCCACAACCUAAAAUGCAAUAAAAAAAAAGAAAUAAAGGUUUUAUUGCUGGUUUUUUUUUUUUUUUUGAGAUGGAGUUUCACUCUUGUUGCCCAGGCUGGAGAGCAAUGGCACAAUCUCCACUCACUGCAACAUCCGCCUUCUGGGUUCAAGCGAUUCUUGUGCCUUAGCCUCCUGAGUAGCUAGGAUUACAGGCAUGUGCCACCAUGCACAGCUAAUUUUUGUAUUUUUAGUAGAGAGAGGGUUUCACCAUUCGUGCCAGACUGGUCUUAAAUUCCUGACCUCAAGUGAUCCACCCAUCUCAGCCUCCCAAAAUGCUGGGAUUACAGGCAUGAGCCACUGCGCCCAGCCUCUAAGUUUUAUUAUUUAUGGGCCCUGGGCAUACACAGCACUCCUGGAGGCCACACACAUAGGGAUCAUGGAGCACAGGCAGGGAGGGUGAAGAGGGGGAGGUCACUGGGAGCAUACUGGGGGAUAGGGUGUGGGUCACUGUGAGUUUGUGGGAAAAUGGCUAAAUAUCAGUUUAG
Long non-coding RNA from Callithrix jacchus (white-tufted-ear marmoset), 1795 nucleotides. NCBI's taxonomy places the organism in Eukaryota, Metazoa, Chordata, Mammalia, Primates, Cebidae. The record is from Ensembl.